Apteryx haastii (Great spotted kiwi) is the source of this 3362-nucleotide long non-coding RNA. The record is from Ensembl. NCBI's taxonomy places the organism in Eukaryota, Metazoa, Chordata, Aves, Apterygiformes, Apterygidae.
CUCCUGGACAGAGGACACACGGGCUCAGAUCUUCUCAGAAAGCCCAGGCAGCCAUGGCCUUUUGGACACUCAGUGUGAGGAACUGGAGAGGAAGAUUGAAGGCAAGUUCAAGGAGUUUGAGGAACUGGCGGCAGUGGGGCAUACAUUGGUGUCUGAGGAGCACUAUCUGAGCGAGACGAUAAAGGAGCGCAUGGAGGAGCUGCAGAGCAUGCUGGGCUGGGUGCUGGUACGUUGGCGAGCGCAGAAACACCAGUGGGACCCUGGGAGCAAGCAGGAAGACAGAAAGAACCGUGAAAGUCCCUUGGGUGCRUCCUCCACUGGCCAGGUGAGUACCUGGCUGCAUCACGACCAUGAGGGAAGAGGGAGGAUCUGUCUGUGAUCUAAUGGAGUAGGUGACAUGGAAGUAGGGGAGGGACAUGUCACAUCUUGGGGGUGACACCCCCAACACUCUCAGGUUCAGACAGGGCAGGCAGGGAAGACUGCCCAGAGAAAGCACCUGAGCUGCUGGCCUGGGCUUCCUGCCUCCAAGGGGGAGCUUGGGCAAUCUCUGUGCCACUGUUUUCCUCCCCGAGCCUCUCUGGGAGCAUGAGCAGGGGCUGUGAGCCUCGAAGAGUGCUUGGGGACCCUGGAGCAGUCCUCUUCUCCAGUCUCCACAUUCCUUCUCUUGUCUUGCUUCCCAGGAGCAGCAAGUCCUAUGCAUUCAGCCSCAUGCAGAGAGCAUCCUUAGCCUGAAAGGGUUUGCACCCUCCUCUCUGCCCGAAUCUAUGCAAGAAUUAGAGCUGCAGCCGCAGGUGCUGGAGGAAACAGCCAUUUCCCCUGCAGUGUCACCCCUCUUGGAUGCCCUGUUGGGACCGGAGCCCAGCAGCUCGGCGCCCCAUGGCACGGGACCCCCUGAGGAGGAGGGUCUCAUCUGGGAUCCCUCCGAGACCUCCAUGAUGUUGCUGCCGCCACGGGGGGCUGGCAGCCUGGGGGGGACGGUCAACUUGAUCCUGAGCAUCAGCAAGAAGGGAGAGAAGAAGCAGCCACAGCUGGUGUUGAGCAGAGAACGGCCCGGGGAGGAGGCUCCGCAGAUGGCCUGCGCCUCUUUGCAUAUGGAGGAGUGCUAUGGAGAAGGGGCCUGGAAAACCUCUGCCGUGGUGCAGCCAGCAAAGCAAGCACCUGCCGCAGUGUGCCGCCCUCUGGCAUCAAGCGCCGUGGCCGCUGUGGCCUCCCACACCCUGCCCAAGGCCGGCCCCAGCUCCAUCUUCAACAGCCUGCAGAGGAAGGAGAAGGUGAAGGCUGAGCAUGCGCGGCUGCUGACGCUGCAGGGCGUCAUGGGCCCCAGCUCCCUGCAGCCCCUGCCCGAGGAGAGGCAUGGCCCCAGCAACACGUGGCCUUUGAAGUGCGGCCGGAGGAAGGCGGCCCCGGGGACGCCUGGCCCCCAGCUCGAGGAGCUGCUGCUCUACGUGAAGAACCCGCUGGUGCGGGACAUUGACGCAGAGUGCGGGGCUGCCCCCGGGGACCCCAAACCCAGCCUCCCCCACCAUGGCAGGGGGCCCAGUGCCGUGCAGCCCACUGCCGGGCCAAAAAACACCUGCCCCCACCUCUCGCUCGGGUCUGUCCUCAGCCUGGAGCUGCCCAAGGACUUGGCCGUCCUGGGCUGCCUCCGAGGCACCGCGGUGGUGGCACAGCAGGAGGAGGCAGAGGGGAAGGAGAAGAGGCAGGGCAGGGGGGCAAAGCGGUUGGAGGCUGCAGGAGCAAGCGGGCCUGGACAGCAGAAGGAGGAUGUGCAUGGACACAGUCCCCAGGGGCCAGGCGAAGGCCUGGGGAAGCCCCCCAAGGGCGAGCGAGGAACAUGGUUCGAAGAGGUGAGCUUCAACCCUAGCUACAGCCGGCAGAAAGCACGGGGCUUGGAGGUGGCCUGCCGCACCAUGGAGGAGCGGAAGAGCCCCGGCAGCGCCGAUGAAGAUUUGCUGGACUUCAGGCUGAACCGACUGUCCCGCAUCAGCGUGCUGCACAAGCAGGUCGGCCAGGAGUGGGACAAGCUAGCAGCCAGGCUGGGCCGGGAUGGCAGCUCCGGCACUGCGGGAGCUGAGAGAGCAGCCGGCUGCAAGGCCAGGCUGCGGGAAGCUGCUUGCGUUGAGCUCAGGUCCUCUCCCACCGCCCUGGCCACCAGGGCGGGUGCUGCCACUGGCAUUGCCCGGCCGGAGCGGCCCGCCGGCAGCGGGAAGUCCGGCGAGGAAGUCCUGGCGGGACUGUCCGGCGGGGGCCCGGACUCCCCUCCUGCCACCAACCAGGGCCCCCGAGCCACCCCCCAGCUCUCCAUGUUCGCCUGUGAGCUGGGCUGCCGGCAGCGCAGCCCUGAGACCAUGGGCCUGGCGGAGAUCUGCCACCCGGCCCACAGGCUGUUUGAGGAGGAGGAGGAGGAGCUGCAGGCCAUCUGGGACCAAGCAAAAGAGCAGACGGUGCCGAGCCCACGGGCAGAGAGCGGCGCCCGACCCAUGCCGGUCAGCGGGACAGGCAGCCUACAGAGCCCUGACAUUGCCGGCGGGCCCCUGAUCCUCUCGGCAACUAAUAACAUGCUGGUGGCCAAGUUCACCCUUCCCACCUCUGCCCAGCUGCUCCACAGCCCAGCUGGAGAAAAGGGCCCCAGUGACAGGCACAAGGGCAGUGGCAGCCCGAGCAGGUGUGGGGCAGCCCUUCCCUGCACGGAGGCGCCCCAUGGCACAGGGCGGUCCAUGUCCGCAGCAUGGGCGGAGAGCCCCAGCACACGGGAUCGACAUCAGGAUGAGGAGCGAGAGGGCAGCAAGGCUCCCUCCGGUAAAAUGGAGUUUCAGAUGAUGGAGGGGACACUGGAGAGGAAGCACGUGCUGCAGACAGGAGGUAGAAAGGCAACCUGCCGUGCCUGGAGCCUGUUCCAUGCAGUGCUGAUGAGGCAGACGCUGUGCUUCUACCAGGACCGGAGGGACAGCCUUAAGGUACCAUGGGGUGGGCGACACAGCAGGAACGGAGCAGGUGCAGGAUGGGGAAGGCAGCAGCGUCCAGGCCUGGAGCCAAGCAGACUUGGGUCCUUUAUUCGUUCUCCCUGCUUCUCCCAUGCCUUCAGCCUUGGGGAGCCCAGCUGGCCCUUCUGGGGCCAGGAGGGGGCUGGCUGGGGGGAGCGGUGCGGCCGGGGGGCUACCGGGGGGCUCCCUCACCUGUGUCUAUGCCAGCUCUGGAAAGGGGAGCCAGCAAACCCCACUGUUGCUUUUGCUGUUCUCCGUGCUGCAGAGCUCCGUGGUGGCCCUUCCCCUGAACCUCUCUGGGGCGGUCUGCACUUCAGACACAGAGUACACCAAAAAGACCAACUGCUUCAGGCUACAGUGAGUAACUCCAGCCCAUGA